AAAUGACUCUCGGCAACGGAUAUCUCGGCUCUCGCAUCGAUGAAGAACGUAGCGAAAUGCGAUACUUGGUGUGAAUUGCAGAAUCCCGUGAACCAUCGAGUCUUUGAACGCAAGUUGCGCCCGAAGCCACCAGGCUGAGGGCACGUCUGCCUGGGCGUCA
This 160-nucleotide ribosomal RNA is filed under the name Jovellana violacea. RNAcentral describes it as "5.8S ribosomal RNA". It matches the Rfam family "5.8S ribosomal RNA". From Rfam's summary of the family: 5.8S ribosomal RNA (5.8S rRNA) is a component of the large subunit of the eukaryotic ribosome. It is transcribed by RNA polymerase I as part of the 45S precursor that also contains 18S and 28S rRNA. Functionally, it is thought that 5.8S rRNA may be involved in ribosome translocation. The record is from RNAcentral. Lineage: Eukaryota; Viridiplantae; Streptophyta; Magnoliopsida; Lamiales; Calceolariaceae.